CGCGCGAAUACGGAGGGUGCGAGCGUUAAUCGGAAUUACUGGGCGUAAAGCGCAUGCAGGUGGUUUGUUAAGUCAGAUGUGAAAAGCCCGGGGCUCAACCUCGGAAUUGCAUUUGAAACUGGCAAACUAGAGUACUGUAGAGGGGGUAGAAUUUCAGGUGUAGCGGUGAAAUGCGUAGAGAUCUGAAGGAAUACCGGUGGCGAAGGCGGCCCCCUGGACAGAUACUGACACUCAGAUGCGAAAGCGUGGGGAGCAAACAGGAUUAGAUACCCUGGUAG
RNAcentral lists this ribosomal RNA (278 nucleotides) under uncultured bacterium. RNAcentral's name for it is "partial 16S ribosomal RNA". It matches the Rfam family "Bacterial small subunit ribosomal RNA", at positions 516 to 793 of the family's 1533-position model. The record is from RNAcentral.